CGGAGGGUGGGCUAGUGGUUAGGCCGUGAGUUUUGGGAACUCAUAGUCGGGGGUUCAAAUCCCCCCCUUCCGA
This 73-nucleotide transfer RNA is filed under the name Treponema sp. RNAcentral's name for it is "tRNA-Pro". It matches the Rfam family "tRNA". Rfam says of the family: Transfer RNA (tRNA) molecules are approximately 80 nucleotides in length. Their secondary structure includes four short double-helical elements and three loops (D, anti-codon, and T loops). Lineage: Bacteria; Pseudomonadati; Spirochaetota; Spirochaetia; Treponematales; Treponemataceae. The record is from RNAcentral.